Molecule: ribosomal RNA, 520 nt
Filed under: Globigerinella siphonifera
Lineage: Eukaryota; Foraminifera; Rotaliida; Globigerinidae
Description: bacterial SSU rRNA
Rfam family: Eukaryotic small subunit ribosomal RNA
Source: RNAcentral
GUGGCUUAAUUUGACUCAACGCGGGGAAUCUUACCGGGGUCCGGACACACUGAGGCUGACAGACAAUUGUCUUUUUGUCAAAUUUAAAGACAAAAGAUAACAGAUCUUUCAUGAUUAUGUGAUGGGUGGUGCAUGGCCGUUCUUAGUUCGUGGAGUGAUCUGUCUGCUUAAUUGCGUUUCAAAUAUAUUUUAUUAUAUAACGAGUCUACAAAGGAGUGGUUCAUUAACAGACAAUCAUAUCUUUGAGCGUCUGGAAUCUACUCUAUUUGGCUCAAUUGAACGCAACGGACGUGAUCGCGAGUCCUUGUUGAACUUCAGUAUAUAUUGACUAUCCCCGUAGGAAGGGAUUGGCAAUAAUUGAAUGUUCGCUUUCUAUUAGGUGUGUAUAUAUAGUCUCAAAAUUACAUGUAUUUGUAAUGGCGAGUAAUAUUUAUACUAUCCUGUAGGAAAACUCGGGCGACCGCUGUAAUAUUUCUCUUUAAAACAGAGGAAGAUUGCGGCAAUAACAGGUCUGUGAUGC